GUGCUCACUUCAGCAGCACAAAUACUAAGAUUGGAACAAUACAGAGAAGAUUAGUAUGGCCCCUGUGCAAGGAUGACAUGUAAAUUCAUGAAGCAGCCCAUAUUUUU
This 107-nucleotide small nuclear RNA is filed under the name Myotis brandtii (Brandt's bat). Lineage: Eukaryota; Metazoa; Chordata; Mammalia; Chiroptera; Vespertilionidae. The record is from RNAcentral.